Molecule: RNA transcript, 1813 nt
Organism: Phragmites australis (common reed)
Lineage: Eukaryota; Viridiplantae; Streptophyta; Magnoliopsida; Poales; Poaceae
Gene name: CASP-like protein 5A1
Exons: 4
Source: RefSeq, a predicted model, not a curated record
GCAGCGGCAGCGAGCCGAGUCUGCACGGCCGGACCCGUCACCUUGUUGCCGUUUCCGCUCACAAGCAGGCAGCCGCCACAUGCGCGCACCGCCGCCCGUCUGGCGCAGGCGGGCGGACGCCGCGGCACGGCAGCACGCCGCGGUCGCGGUCGCACCUUCAUAAACUACCGUUUCUUUUCGCCAGACGGCCAGAGCAAAGAGUAAACAAACGGCACAGCCACAGCGCGAGAGCAAGGCGAGGGAGUGCAGCAAAAUCGCGCACGCGCACGACGCACUGACUGGCCGCUUGCGCCGCGCCGCGCCCGUGCCUCUCGUCGUCCUCCGCCGAAUCCUAUCCCACCACGCGAGCCUCUCGCUCCAGCGGCCGCUGAUCCCCGGCCCAGCUCGGACGCGUUCGAAGGCCACGCCACCGCAUUCGUCUGCAGGGGCAGGGAAGGGAGGGAUCGAGGUUGUUCCGUCGCGGGUGGGGUGGCGACGUGGUGUACGCAGUAGUUCGGAGCUGAGAUGUUCGCGAGCCGGCCGGUGGUGCAUCCGUUGGAGGUAGCGCCGCCCGCGGAUCCGGUGGAGCAGCCAGUGGGAGUGCUGAUGAAGGACCUGCCCGGGAUGCCGGGAACGCCCGGGGGACUCGGCCUGCGCGUCGCGCAGCUCCUCUUCGCCGCCAUCUCGCUCGCGGUUAUGUCGUCCACCAGCGACUUCCCCUCCGUCUCCGCCUUCCGCUACCUUGUUGCUGCUGUUAUUUUACAAUGUGUGUGGAGCCUUGCACUAGCCAUUGUGGACAUAUAUGCACUGCUUGUUAAACGCUGCUUACGAAAUCGUCGUGCUGUUUGUCUGUUUGCUGUUGGAGAUGGGAUCACAGCCGCGAUAACCUUCGCAGCAGCAUGUGCCUCGGCAGGAAUCACCGUCUUGAUCGAUAAUGAUCUGAGCAUAUGCUCAGAAAACCACUGUGCUGCUUUUGAGACUGCAACAGCUAUGGCGUUCAUGUGUUGGUUCUCUCUUGUGCCGUGCUUUCUGCUGAACUUUUAUUCGUUCGCUUCUAGCUGAAAAGAAAGUAGGAUAGAGCUUGAUUUUAGAGCAAGUUUGUGCACCCAAUUGCGGUUUUAGUGACAACUGGAUAGAAUGGCACAGCUAAUAGUAUUAGAAUUGGAAGCUGAUGAACUCUAUGAGGCUAUGACUCCACGUAUCUCGUUUAACUCUGUAAAAAGCAUAGGGAGUGGCUUGUUCGGCAAAGGCAUUGUUGCUGUGAAUCUUUGCAGUUCUAUUGAGUAAGUUGUCAUGAUCUUUGUGAAGAAGCAUUGAGAUUCUUUUUGGGAGAACCAUUGAAAUUCUCGAGGACUUUUCAUCGACAGUUGGCAUGCUCGAGCAGGACCCAGAUCCUCUGCCGUAAAGAGGCAAUGCAGGUCACCGGCUAACUGGUCUGCGCCGUUGGCUUUUGCUUUUGAUCUGACGGCUCCGGAGUGACCCUAAUACCUCUCUGCAGUUGCCAGAGCAUCCCGAUCCGCGCGCAGCAAUGAUCAGUUGGACAUCCAUGACCACAAGUCGAAAAAUGACAAGCAUCUCAUCACGCAACCAUACUCGCUCCUGGUAGAGUGGCAGUGUGGGAUUUCUCUCUUUUCCUGGCAUAUUGCGGUGGUUAUAGCCUUCUCGCUUUACCUUCUAUUCCUUUCAUUUUCUUGUUUGUAUCGAGGAUGUCCAUAUGUACAGGAGCCAAAAAGGCAUGUCAUCAUCUAGAUGUCAUUUGUCAGAGGGAAAGAAAUUUUGACCCGGUAUAUCCAAUAUAUCGGUUUACCAGAUCUACUGAUGGACCCAGUAGAAA